Small nuclear RNA from Lemur catta (Ring-tailed lemur), 141 nucleotides. RefSeq annotates it as U4 spliceosomal RNA. The record is from RefSeq and is a predicted model, not a curated record. Lineage: Eukaryota; Metazoa; Chordata; Mammalia; Primates; Lemuridae. The transcript has a single exon.
AGCUUUACGCAGUGGCAGUAUCGUAGUCAAUGAAGUUUAUCCGAGGCGCGAUUAUUGCUAAUUGAAAUCUUUUCCCAAUACCCUGCCAUGAUGACUUGAAAUACAAUCAGUAGUGGCAAUUAUUAUUAUUUUUUUUUAGAC